RNAcentral lists this ribosomal RNA (469 nucleotides) under uncultured bacterium. Its description in RNAcentral is "bacterial SSU rRNA". It matches the Rfam family "Bacterial small subunit ribosomal RNA", at positions 30 to 486 of the family's 1533-position model. The record is from RNAcentral.
AUUGAACGCUGGCGGCAGGCCUAACACAUGCAAGUCGAGCGGUAGCACAGAAGAGCUUGCUCUUUGGGUGACGAGCGGCGGACGGGUGAGUAAUGUCUGGGAAACUGCCUGAUGGAGGGGGAUAACUACUGGAAACGGUAGCUAAUACCGCAUAACGUCGCAAGACCAAAGUGGGGGACCUUCGGGCCUCAUGCCAUCAGAUGUGCCCAGAUGGGACUAGCUAGUAGGUGAGGUAAUGGCUCACCUAGGCGACGAUCCCUAGCUGGUCUGAGAGGAUGACCAGCCACACUGGAACUGAGACACGGUCCAGACUCCUACGGGAGGCAGCAGUGGGGAAUAUUGCACAAUGGGCGCAAGCCUGAUGCAGCCAUGCCGCGUGUAUGAAGAAGGCCUUCGGGUUGUAAAGUACUUUCAGCGAGGAGGAAGGCAUUAAGGUUAAUAACCUUAGUGAUUGACGUUACUCGCAGAA